This 380-nucleotide long non-coding RNA is filed under the name Sorghum bicolor (sorghum). RNAcentral describes it as "long non-coding RNA (SBIC_LNC016638)". The record is from RNAcentral. Lineage: Eukaryota; Viridiplantae; Streptophyta; Magnoliopsida; Poales; Poaceae.
UGUCGGCCUUCCCAAGCCAACACAUCCCCGUGUAAAGGAGGUAGAUCCUCUUCAGAUGACUGAGAUUACAGUGGAAGAGGCGAGGACAUCAGAGCCCCCUGCUCCUCCUCCUGCUACUGCUGCACCUCCUCCUCCUCCUGCUGCUGCUACACCUGCUCCUCCUCCUGCUACAUCUGCUCCUCCUCCUGCUGCUGCUGCUACACCUGCUCCUCCUCCUACUGUAACUGGAGCAGUACCGGUAGCUACCAAGGAGGAUGAGGAAGAUGAGAUCAACGAGGAUGAGGAGGAGGAUGAUGAGGAGGAGGAGUUUGAUUUUGAUGCAUAUGAGGAAGCGGAAGCUCUAGGCCGUCUAUGAGCUAGGUUUGCAAAAUUUUUGGGGU